Molecule: ribosomal RNA, 302 nt
Filed under: uncultured bacterium
Lineage: Bacteria
Description: partial 16S ribosomal RNA
Rfam family: Bacterial small subunit ribosomal RNA
Source: RNAcentral
GCAGCCGCCGCGGGAAUACAGAGGUCUCAAGCGUUGUUCGGAAUCACUGGGCGUAAAGGGUGCGUAGGUGGCGUGGCAAGUCAGAUGUGAAAGCCCGGGGCUCAACCUCGGAAUAGCAUCCGAUACUACCAUGCUAGAGUACUGAAGAGGUGACUAGAAUUCUCGGUGUGGCAGUGAAAUGCGUAGAUAUCGAGAGGAAUACCAACGGCGAAGGCAGGUCACUGGGCAGUUACUGACACUGAGGCACGAAGGCCAGGGGAGCAAACGGGAUUAGAUACCCCGGUAGUCCCUGUCUCUUAUAC